Molecule: long non-coding RNA, 7980 nt
Organism: Malaclemys terrapin pileata
Lineage: Eukaryota; Metazoa; Chordata; Testudines; Emydidae
Exons: 3
Source: RefSeq, a predicted model, not a curated record
UCCCAUUUCUAGGCUAUCUUUGAAUAUAAUUCUUCCAAGUGUCUAGGGUGACUGCAUGUUAGAUUGGAGAACAUGAGCUGGGGAACUCAGCUCUGUUUUUCAGGUUGAUUUUCUGUGCUUCGUUGGCCUGCAUAUUAUAACUCCACGAGUCAGUUUUUCAGAGAUGGUUGUUAUACUGCGUUUACCAUAAACUGCACCCAUUUUCUCCAUCCCAGCUGUGUGAGAGAGAAUGGCUGCCACUCACUUGCUUCUCCACUGACACCAAAAAAGAGGCUUGAAUUUCGGCUGUAACUUUAGGACAAGAGCUCAGGUACCAGAGAGGAUGGCAGUUCUUUUCCAGUGCAUAAAUAAUGUAUUGGCCGUAUACAUCUCCUGCUGGCAGCUGGCUGCAGCAUGUCAUGCUGAGGAAUGCGAGAAGCAACAAACGAGCACUCCCUUGGCAGCCAGCAAUGAAGAGGCAGUUCAGCUGCCCAUAAAAUGCCAUCGGGCCAUAGUCACACCCUCCCACUGGCUCUCUACUUUAGAGGUGCAUUCUGACCCUUGGAUGGAGAUAAAUUAUCACCAUCUACUAGUGGCUGAAGAGAUAAAGCCAGAAAAUAUAAUAAGGCAAAGAAAUAACAAAGUUUGAGAGAACCUGGCAUAUGUCCCAACACAAUCAAGAAAAGGACAGAGAAGUCGUUUCUGACAUUGUUUCCUUUGCGUCAAGCAACACAACAACCAAGGCUAGCAAAACUGUAAGCAAAACUGAAAAACUAUUUUUUCCCUGUUCUUGUAUCAUUCUGUCUGUAAGUGAAGAAAGGAGCACUUGCAUUUUACAAGUUAUGUGAGUCAGAGGCUGGGGCAUGGCUGUACAUACAGUGCUGCUCAGAUUGUGUGUCUGUGCACAUGGGUGGUGGAAAGCUCACUUUUGCAUUCCCCCCAUCCCACUGCUGCUCUGUGCGGGGCCAGACUGUGUCGAGUUAGAAUAGCCUGAGGUUAUCAGGCUAUCUUGGGGGUUAAUCUAUUUGCAUCAGCGCUGAAGUUAUGAGGGCUAUGGGCAGUAAAGCAUAACAUUACAGUCUUAUGCAUGGAAUGAAGAAGGUGUUCACUUUCCCCUGCUGUUUGAACCUUGUGUGUGCUGUAGUAGAUGAUUCACAAUGAAAACAAACAAGUUCUCCUGUGAGCCACAAUACCUCAGAGAGCAGCCGCUGUUUUCCCAGUGAAGUAACCUAUAGCCCAGUGCUCCUGGUGCUAUGAAUUCCUGUUGAGUGAACACCCCUCUGCUGUGAGCACCACACACAUCACCAGGUGGAAAGAGAGUGAGCCAGGUCUGCCCCCCCACUGACCCCUCAGGAAUCAGUACAUGGUGCCCAUUCUCCCUGUGGUUAACCACUUCUGUUGCCAGCUAAUGUAGUUAGGCCUGCGUCAGUGCUGAAGAUUUCAGGCCCAAACUAGAGCGAGGUGGAGAACGGGAUGUCCAUUUUGUGGAAGAUUUUGAUAUUUUGGUUUCAUUCAGUUGCACAGUAAAAAAAACAAAAAUUGUCAUUCUCCAUGAAAAUGAAUAGAGCCCCAACUCUGGGGCUGUCCACCUGGCAGGAUGCGCCUCAGCUUCAGAUCUGGGAAGCCCUAGGCUCCCCAACUCCAAGGCAGACUGCCUGGUGGGAUGCCCCAGAGCCGUUGAUCCUGGAAACUCUUGGCUCUUCUGAAGGGUUCUAUAAAAUAGAAAAAUAUACUUCCAAGAAGGGCAUCCAUGAAAUAAAUCAAAAUUUAAUAAGAUGUGUUGACUAUUAGAAAGCAUGCUUUCACCAUUGUCUGCUGUUGUGCUGGCAACCACUGACACUGAAUCACAGGGAUAAUAUGUUCCAAAACUUAUUUUGCAAUAAUAGUUUGGGAUUCAGUUGCUUGUUUUAUUGUGCCAAGCGGCUUAACAUAAAAGCACUUUUAAUAACUUCAUUUAUUCCAUGUGUUUAUAUAAAUAACAUGCACAACCUUUUUAUGCAAAGAACAAUUUAAGUAAUGUUUCAUGAUGCAAAAUAAUGCCAUAUGUGUCCUUUCCAAAACCCCGUUAUUCAGUUUGUUCACUUGCCUCUUUCAUGUUGACAAUGCUUCUUUUCCUUUUAAUAUAAUUUUAAAAGGGUUUCCAAGGCUGCUUAAAGUUGGGGGUCUUGGGAUCCAAUAAAACCUGUCAGUUUUCCCUUUGGCAUCAUAGUUUUCGUAUCUUUCAACAAUGAGAAACCUGUCACCGACAGCUCUUGAUCAUGUUUUCCACUGAAAGGAACCCUGGGCUUGGCAAUUAAUACCAGACUUGUCAAUGCAAGUUAAGGUGCCGUUUUAUCUUUAUUUCAUCAGUAUUUAACAAACGGAAUGUAUAUUCCACUGAGAAGUCAUUUUAGUCAGUGCAGUCACAGACCAUAUAUGCACAUUCUGAUCUCAGAAGGCCAGAAUUAUUAUUAUUUAUUAUUAUUGUUUUAUUAUUAUUUACAUUUCCAUACCAGGGGAUAAAAUCAUUCUUGGUGUAACUCCUUCGAAUUCAGUGGAAUUAGAUCAGGGUGAAUUUGGCCAAAAGUGUCUUUACAAUGCCUGCACGAUCUCACAUUAAGAUAGAAAUACAUUGUGCAGCAAGAGCCAUACCAAUGCACUGGCGGCUUGGUCUUGCAGCCUCUUUUCAUGUGAAUAGUAUCAUGAAAUUCAAUGAGGCCAUGUUGCAUGAUCUUUAUUUGAAUGUUCUCACAUGUUUUUAAGAUGACCAAUUAAAAGUGCAUUUAUUUCAAUGUAUAAUCACUUAAACCCAGAGGCUUUUAUAUUAGAUGUGUGUAGUAUAUACAUUUGCUUAUAUCUAGAGCUUCACAUCCUGCAGUUCUAUUUUAAAGCAUUAGUAGAAAGUCACAGGGGGUGAAAUUCAUCCCUGUGCAGAAGAUCAGCCCAUGAAUAAUACACCCCUUAUUUCCUCAAAAUAGGCGUAAAUGCGACUUGGAGGAUACUUGGCUGUACACAACCGCUCCAGAGGGGUACAUUUAAUCCAUAUUGUAUAUGCACAGAAUGCAGUUUUUAAAUACUUAGCUCUGAACAAAAUUGAGCACGAGGACCAUGGAAAAACUGACAAUUUUUGAAAACAAUUAUUUUUGAGCUCUGAGAUAAAAACAUUUCUAAAUCUAAUGUAGAAACUAUAUCAUUUGGUCAUGUUUGGAUAACUCAGAAAUGAUCAAAUGAAAUGUUACUGCACUUUUCUGAAACUGUCACUUUUAUGGAGGACAAAUAAAAGGAAUUUCAGUCCUAAAGAAAAUGUUUAUAGAAAGUUAUUGUAAGCUUGUAUUCAGGUAUUUAUAAAAGUGCUAUUUGUACCAUACUGUCAUUACUAUAAUUCUAUAAGAGGGUAAGUUUCUGGAGUGUAUGCAGUUGUGUAUCCAAAAUAUAUGCUAGUUGGGUACAAUGACUUGCCUGCAGUUUCUUUUGAAAAUGUGGCCCAUUAUUUUUAGUCAAAGAUUGACAUAAAUUAAUGGUUGGAACAAUCUUAAAAUACAGCACCACCUUCCUUUCAAGACUCUUUUUUUUAAUUUGCUUUUUUCCAAGAGAUGGAUUUUAAUACAACUCUUAAGAGUAUUCAUUCCUGCAUUUUAAAAUAUCAGAUCUGACCAACCUGAUGCUCAGGUUGCCACUUCUGAGAGUUUUCUUUCUGGGACAAAUUAAUCCAUUGAGAGGUGGCCUUGUGUCAUCAUGAAUCGUCAUAUUGCAUCAGAACAUUGUUUUGUAGUGAUAAUGUUCCCAAGUUGAGAAUAUUUUUGCAAGCUCUGGAAGGGUUUUCAAGUCUUGGGGAAAUGGAAUCACCCUGCUAAACAUAUGAGAAACAAUCCUAGCCCUGGAAGGAGCUUCUGAGAAGCUCCAAAGUGACUUAGAAUCCUAAGUUCCAUUCUUAAAAGCAACAUAGGCUCUUAAGAGCCUACGUCUCAUUAAAAAUCAGUGGGACUUACACUCCUAAAUCACUCAGCUGGGUUUUGAAAAAAUUUCCCCUGGUCUAAUUUGGAAGAAGUUUCUUCUGGAUCACAGGGAAUAGUAAAGACAAGAAUCAGACAAACUUCCAGGGGGGAAAGAACCUCAGAAUUUAAGAAUUUGAUUUUAUAAAUUUGUGCCACAUACAAAAAAGUCUAUGGAUGUUUUGUAAUCCAAACAAUUAAAAGCAUCCUCAAGUAAGUAUCAAGUUUGUUAUGAACGUUAAAGCAGUUGUAGACUUUUGAGUAUAAAUAGAAACACUUGCAUUUGAACUCUUGUUCACUACCAUUCCAAACCAAUUAACAGCUGCAAUGAAAGUAAAGGAGUAAAUGACCAACCCAGAUUAACAAUGACUCCUCUACACUAAAUAAGCUCAGUAAAUUUUGGGGGUCAUAUUUUGAUCUUAGUUGUACCAGUGUAACUCCAUUGACAUCAAUGGAAUGACUCCAUUUUUUUUUUAAUUGAGAUGCUCCAAUACUAUAUUACAGGGGGCCUGUAAUGGGCUGUGCAUUCCAUACAGGCCCUGAAAGGGUUGAUGUGGACCUGAAAGGGUUGAUGUGGGCCUGAAAAGCCAGUUAUGAUAUCUAGCUGCCCCUGAAGGGAGAUCAAGGCUUAACUGAACAUGAAGCCCAGCUGGGCAGGGGCAGGCUGGUUGGUAUAAAGCCAGGAAGCUGUGAGUUCAAGGAGGCUACAGGGAGAGAGUCUGUAGUGAGUCUCUAGGUGCAGAGAGGUGGGGAGGAGAAAACCCAAGAGAUAGAAUAAGCUUUGGGAUCAUAGCCCUGGAAGAAGGGUCAACCCCAGAGGAACAGUGGAGAAAAACAGCCUGAGGGCUGAGCAGGAAGAAGCCCAGGGAAACAGCAGCAAGCAGUAGGACUGAGCAAACAGUGGCUGCUUGUUUAUAGGGUCCCUGGGUUGGAACCCACUGUAAAAGCAGGGCCACCCGGGGGGGCAAGUAGGGCAAUUUGCCCCAGGCCCCGGGCCCCGCAGGGGCCCCCAUGAGAGUUUUUCGGGGCCCCUGGAGCGGGGUCCUUCACUCACUCCGGGGGGCCCCGGGAAACUCUCACGGGGCCUGGGCCCCCAGAGCUUCUUCGGCAGCAGUUUGGCGGCGGGGGGUCCUUCCGCUCUGGGACCCGCUGCUGAAGUGCCCUGAAGACCCGCGGCGGGGGUCCUUCCGCCCCGGGACCCGCCGCCGAAGUGCCGGGUCUUCAGCGGCAAUUCGGUGGCGGGGGGCCCCCUGCCGCCGAAGACCCCAGGCCCCCUGAAUCCUCUGGGCGGCCCUGUGUAAAAGGCAGGCCUGGGUUCCCCUUUCAGCCACUGGGAAGUAGCACAGGAUUGUGAGAAACACUGGUCUGGCAGGACUUUGUAGUCUGCCCUCCUUUCUGGGGUAUCCCAGUGACCUGGGGGCAGGGGAGACAACCCUGGGGUGCGCAAAUGACAGAAGUGGGAGCCAGACCAGAUGAGAGCUGAUUCCCCAGACACAGCUACAAGGAGAUGCCCCCAACUGUCAGUGAAGCCUGUGACAGGGUCAUAUAAGACUCUUAGAUGGAUAGCAUUACACUGGGUAACUGAGAUUAGAAUUGGCCCUUGACACUUCGUAUUUCAUACUGUGGUUGAUUUUUACCAGGGUGCAUGUUCCUUAAAUGACAGUGCAGUUUUUAUUUUAAUUUCACUGCACAUCUGAGCAUCACAGCAUGUUUUUGAAAUGCUGGUUCCAAGCACUGUAAUUUAGAAGGGUAAAAAGAUCCUGCUUUUUUCAGGUGUCUUAGAUUCAGUUUCAUUAUAGAUUUUUUUAAAGAUACUUAUUUAAAAAGACUUCACUUUAUCUAGUGCCAUUUGCUUAAGAAGUCAGAGAAGGGGGAACAAACGGAGUCUUUCAUCUAGGGAGAAGGAAAUUGUGUUGUACAGGUUUAGUGAAGAAGCAGACUACUUAAUGACCAUUCCAACACUUGGUGCUGAAAGCCUCUAUACUUACUUUUUCUACUCUCGGGUGUAACCAGGCACACAGUUUAACUCUGCGUCUCCUAUCAGAUGUACCCAGAGCUUCCUAUGAAAAUAUUACAUUCUAAAAGCUUGUUAAGAAAUGGUAUUCAUGACAAAGGAUGCACAGAUCUUCAUUAACACUUUCCUAAACAAGGUUGCCAUAUAUGUGGUCAUCAUGUUAUUAAAAUCAACUACUGCAUAUACUGAUAGCCUGCUUCUUCAAAUGUGGAAGCAAAUUUUCAUUUAAGCAAUUUGUCUUUUGACUGCAAAAUGUUUGACUGCAGGAAUGUUGUCUUUUUACUCCAAAAUACUGUUUGUUUAUGGCACCACAGAAAGUAUGCAUCAUAACAAUACUGAUAUUGAUUGCAGUUUCCAAUACUUGGUUUCCAUAGAUGCAAAAAUAUUUCUCUUGCCAGCUCAUUUUCUGCUUUUUUUUUUUUUUGUUUUAGUCAUGCUACAAAAUGAAUUCCCCACAUUGCACUUUAACAACUUCACCUGCUCUGAUCAGAGAGUCAGUCUAAAAUAUCUCUGGCUACUGUGUAGCAAGUCCAGUUUAAACAUUGCUUAGAUGGCUUGCUUCAACAUUGAAAAGGCACUUCUAAGUUGUUUCCCUGAAUACUCUUUUCCAUUUGGAGUAAAGUAGCUGGCCUGUCUCUGAUCCUAUUUUAAGCCCGAGGACAGCUUCAUUGAGUGUAUCAGUUAAAUUACAUCAUUCAUCUAUGCUCUAGCAUAGGAAACUGAGUUCUUAUAGAGGAUUAUAACAGGAAUAUAACAAUGUCAUUUAAAAGAUAAGGGGCCUGAGAUGUAUUUCUUGCAUGUAAGGAGCAAGAUAACACUUAAUUCAACAUAUAGGGUCCCUACCAAGGGGAGCUUUGAGAGGAAAGUAGACAAAGAAUCUCUUUGCUUAGUAAUAAGGGAGGAAAAUUAAAUUUCCUCAGACAAGCGACCUUUGGCUUUGUGGGGAAGUAGACUUGGCACUAGAAUGCUUUUAUUUUACUUAACUAAUCUCAAGCAUUCCCAGUUAAUUUGGGAAGGUUUAUGGGUUUUAUUUUGUUGUUUGGAUUGAAACUCUCGCAGAAAAACUCCUAGUCUGAAACUUUUAAAGAUCAGGCACAUUUUUACCCUUAUGAGUUUUCAGUAGAAUGUUCCCCAAGGAGUUAAAAUGGCUAAAGUACCAAACCAAAGGCUUCCUGGAUUGCAGAGAUGGAAAAGAAAAAUGCAUGGGACUAGUUAACGUUUUGCUCCUGAGUGGUCAUUAAAAUAGACUGAAACAGGAAGGGGAGCUUUACUGUACCAGUGGAACUGGAAGAAGAACUGUGGGGGUGCUCGCUUCUGCUUUAACCAGAGGAGCAGGAGCUGCUCUCCAAUCUGUUUUCUCUUCUUUUAGCCUUGGUUCCUGAAUUAGAUGGAGAACAGUCAAUCAAGUUGGUUUAAUGCAGAUUUGCUUGGGAGGGAAUAAAGGGGAAAUGGUUCAAAAGCACCUAGGUGGAGAGAGAGAGAGUAUUUCUGAAGCUGAUGGUCCAGCACUGGAAGGACAGCUCUAAUCUGUCUAUUAACCAAUUAAUAAUAACCUUAUCUGCUGCAAAGUUUGAAAUGUUUCAGGGCCUGGUGGAAUGUGCUGAGCAUUUAGCAGAUUAGGGCACUGCAGUCUUGGAAAUUGAGACAGCAGAUAGCUGUAACCACACACAGUUAGACAGUUAAAGUAUUUCAUCACCCUCAGGACUUCUUGGUCAACAGGCCUUGGUCCUCCUCCCUCUUCUGGAAUUUCAAUGUAACUAAUGAGUGUAUUAUUGUAUGUUUUGUCACUGCUUUGAUUUGUCAGAUUGUUUCCUUUUGCUUUGGGUUUUGAAUAAUCAGUAAAAUAUAUGAAAACACAAAAGGAAAGAAGUGGGGAGUAGCUCUCGGAGAGGGCAUAGUUGGCUGUACUACACCAGAAUAAUCACUUUGGAAGGGUGUCCAAAGCCAUAAUUUUCUGUUUUGCUUUUUUGCCUGAAACCAUAAUCUGAUAUUUAUCAAAUAAAUGGAAGAAAAUCC